RNAcentral lists this ribosomal RNA (446 nucleotides) under uncultured bacterium. Its description in RNAcentral is "partial 16S ribosomal RNA". It matches the Rfam family "Bacterial small subunit ribosomal RNA", at positions 338 to 795 of the family's 1533-position model. The record is from RNAcentral.
CCUACGGGAGGCUGCAGUCGAGAAUCAUUCACAAUGGGGGAAACCCUGAUGGUGCGACGCCGCGUGGGGGAAUGAAGGUCUUCGGAUUGUAAACCCCUGUCAUGUGGGAGCAAAUUAAAAAGAUAGUACCACACGAGGAAGAGACGGCUAACUCUGUGCCAGCAGCCGCGGUAAUACAGAGGUCUCAAGCGUUGUUCGGAAUCACUGGGCGUAAAGCGUGCGUAGGCUGUUUCGUAAGUCGUGUGUGAAAGGCGCGGGCUCAACCCGCGGACGGCACAUGAUACUGCGAGACUAGAGUAAUGGAGGGGGAACCGGAAGUCUCGGUGGAGCAGGGAAAUGCGUAGAUAUCGAGAGGAACACUCGUGGCGAAGGUGGGUUCCUGGACAUUAACUGACGCUGAGGCACGAAGGCCAGGGGAGCGAAAGGGAUUAGAUACCCGGGUAGUC